GACGAACGCUGGCGGCGUGCUUAACACAUGCAAGUCGAACGGAAAGGCCCUGCUUUUGUGGGGUGCUCGAGUGGCGAACGGGUGAGUAACACGUGAGUAACCUGCCCUUGACUUUGGGAUAACUUCAGGAAACUGGGGCUAAUACCGGAUAGGAGCUCCUGCUGCAUGGUGGGGGUUGGAAAGUUUCGGCGGUUGGGGAUGGACUCGCGGCGUAUCAGCUUGUUGGUGGGGUAGUGGCUUACCAAGGCUUUGACGGGUAGCCGGCCUGAGGGGGUGACCGGACGGAUUGGAACUGUGCUACGGCCCGGACUCGUACGGGAGGCAGCAGGGGGGAAAAUUGCACGAUGGGCGGAAGCCUGAUGCAGCAACGCCGCGGGGGGGAUGACGGCCUUCGGGUUGUAAGCCGCUUUCGCCUGUUACGAAGCGUGAGUGACGGUAAUGGGUAAGGAAGCACCGGCUAACUACGG
RNAcentral lists this ribosomal RNA (467 nucleotides) under uncultured bacterium. Its description in RNAcentral is "partial 16S ribosomal RNA". It matches the Rfam family "Bacterial small subunit ribosomal RNA", at positions 28 to 506 of the family's 1533-position model. The record is from RNAcentral.